UUCAUCGCACACUCUAGGAACAGCACAGCCAGGAGAGAUGACAGGGCUGCUUGUGGAAAUCAGCUCUCCAUGGAAACCCAUCACUUUCCACCCCGGCCCUUGUCAGCAGAGGAACGAGUAAAUGAGGAGCUGAGCAAAAAGCUUUAGCUGCACAUCUAGCAUCAGCAUGAACUGCAAAAGCGACAGCCUAGUGAUUCUGUGGAUUCUGCGACAUGCCACUUGAGAAAAAGAAGAGAGAGUGGUGGUGGCACAGGAGCAAGCUGUGUGGAGUCCAAGCCCCAGCAGAGCCAAGUGGAGUGGUGCCAGUGCUGGAGGCAGCUGUGCAAAGUUGAACCAAUGGAGUGGAUUCAUCUGAGGACAGCACGUGGGCAAGACGGAUGAUCUAGCUUCCAGGGGGUUUGUUUGAUGUAGCUCUCAUCGCUUUCUUGCAUUGAAGGGGUGUGAAGGGGAGUGGAUGCAAAUGUUAUGCCACAAAAACUUGUUUUUACAGUGGUGAAUACCCUUU
Non-coding RNA from Zonotrichia albicollis (white-throated sparrow), 505 nucleotides. NCBI's taxonomy places the organism in Eukaryota, Metazoa, Chordata, Aves, Passeriformes, Passerellidae. The record is from RefSeq and is a predicted model, not a curated record.